Molecule: ribosomal RNA, 253 nt
Filed under: uncultured bacterium
Lineage: Bacteria
Description: partial 16S ribosomal RNA
Rfam family: Bacterial small subunit ribosomal RNA
Source: RNAcentral
UACAGAGGGUGCGAGCGUUAAUCGGAGUUACUGGGCGUAAAGGGCGCGUAGGCGGUUAUGUAAGUGAGAUGUGAAAACCCUGGGCUUAACCUAGGACGUGCAUCUCAAACUGUAUAGCUGGAGUAUUGUAGAGGGUAGUGGAAUUUCCGGUGUAGCGGUGAAAUGCGUAGAGAUCGGAAGGAACACCAGUGGCGAAGGCGGCUACCUGGACAAAUACUGACGCUGAGGCGCGAGAGCGUGGGGAGCAAACAGG